This is a long non-coding RNA of Tripterygium wilfordii, 1310 nucleotides long. RefSeq lists it as uncharacterized. The transcript has 5 exons. NCBI's taxonomy places the organism in Eukaryota, Viridiplantae, Streptophyta, Magnoliopsida, Celastrales, Celastraceae. The record is from RefSeq and is a predicted model, not a curated record.
GGGGAAUAGGGUUUCAUAUGAACAGGGACGAUGCUUAUUUAUAAUAGCGUCGAAAAUAUAUUUAAUUUCACGGCGCUUUACUGUGAAAGUGUCGUAAAUGUUAAAUAUCUUCGGCGGUUAUAAGGCGCUGUAAAUUUGUUGAUAUCAAAACGACAUCGUUUUGAAUACAGAUGUAGGCAAAUCCCUAAGUUGACAUCAAAACGUUGCACGAGUAAGCAGACACUUCACUGUACUCCUUCUUUCACCCCACCGCACUCCGUCUUCCACCCCACCGCGCUCCUUGUUCCACCACACGCAUUACGUCGACACAAGCACACACUUCACUGGACGAUUCUGGUACUUCAUAAGAUUUGUAAGUGCGGUGAACUUUUGGAUUUGACGGCUCUUCCGUGAAGCCUAUCAUUGCUAGAUUGGAAAAUGGCCACAUUGGACAAAAGUUGGAUGAAUAUUGGCAAUCGUCUAAACCCUGAUUAUAUUAGGGGAGUCGAGGAAUUCCUUGACUUUGCUUUUCAACACCCAAGAGUAGGAGAUCUCAUAUAUUGUCCAUGUAAAAAGUGCUUCAAUGGACAUCUUAAGACUAGAGAGAAUGUCAAGGAAGAUUUGAUCAUAAGGGGCAUAAUUUAUAGUUACACUUUUUGGAACUUCCAUGGCGAAGAAUGACCUGCUACUAUGGAAGUUCAGGAUGAUGAGAUUGGGCUUGAGGUGGAAUGUGAUGAAAUAGAUGAGUUAAUAGUAGAUACCUUACCAAGUCUUAAUCCGGAGAUUUUUGCAGACCAUGAAUAUGAUGCGGAUAAUGCUAGUAAUAAUGUGUCGUAAAAUGAGGCUAAAAGAAUUUACAGGGUUCUUGAAAAGAAGCUGAAAUGGCAAGAAAAGAACUAGAAGACUAUAAGAAGAUGCCAGAUGAGAGAGCAAGAAAAACGGAGGAAGAUGUGGCCAGGCUUACGCAGGCUUUGCUGAGAUUUACAGAAAGGGGCAAUGGUGACAACCUUUAACAUGAUCUGGCUUCACUUUCUUGUACUGCAUAUGUGACAUUUAGAGAUGCUUAUGCGCUACAAAUUGGUAUCUUGCUCAGUGGAAAGGGUGUUGCUAUUGUUGUGCACUGAGUUUGGCAAGACAAUGAAGGUUUUGAUUGCUCCUGUGCUAAAUUUGUUAUUAAUGGAACCUUUUUGUUUUGUCUUUAGAUUAGUUGGAUUGAGUACAAGCCAUGUACUUUCUAUGUAUAUUUUGGUGCGGAUAGUGGAAGUGUUUGAUUAUGUGAAACUAUGAUAAUUAUUUUCUAUGUCAUGAAUGGAAAUAUGGUAGCCUUAGUU